UCUUUUAUGGCAGAUUAGUGCAAUGAAUUUAAGAUUCAUAUAUAAAAUUUAUAAUUUUUUUAAGAAAU
Molecule: transfer RNA, 68 nt
Filed under: Cardiochiles fuscipennis
Lineage: Eukaryota; Metazoa; Arthropoda; Insecta; Hymenoptera; Braconidae
Description: tRNA-Leu
Source: RNAcentral